Molecule: ribosomal RNA, 492 nt
Filed under: uncultured bacterium
Lineage: Bacteria
Description: partial 16S ribosomal RNA
Rfam family: Bacterial small subunit ribosomal RNA
Source: RNAcentral
AGUGAACGCUGGCGGUAGGCCUAACACAUGCAAGUCGAACGGCAGCACAGUAAGAGCUUGCUCUUACGGGUGGCGAGUGGCGGACGGGUGAGGAAUACAUCGGAAUCUACUUUUUCGUGGGGGAUAACGUAGGGAAACUUACGCUAAUACCGCAUACGACCUACGGGUGAAAGCAGGGGAUCUUCGGACCUUGCGCGAUUGAAUGAGCCGAUGUCGGAUGAGCUAGUUGGCGGGGUAAAGGCCCACCAAGGCAACGAUGCGUAGCUGGUCUGAGAGGAUGAGCGGCCACACUGGAACUGAGAAACGGUCAAGACUCAUAAGGGAGGCAGCAGUAGGGAAUGUGCCGCAAUGGGCGAAAGUCUGACGGAGCAAUGACGAGGGAGUGAUGAAGGUCUUCGGAUCGUAAAACUCUGUUAUGAGGGAAGAACAAAUGUGUCAGUAACGAUGCACGUCGUGACGGGACCUAAUAAGAAAGCCACGGCUAACUACGUG